AGAAACUUAGGAUAAUAUUAAACCAAAGGCCUUCAAAGCCUUGAACAAGAGUUAAACCCUCUUAGUUUCUG
This 71-nucleotide transfer RNA is filed under the name Guaruba guarouba. RNAcentral describes it as "tRNA-Trp". It matches the Rfam family "tRNA". Rfam says of the family: Transfer RNA (tRNA) molecules are approximately 80 nucleotides in length. Their secondary structure includes four short double-helical elements and three loops (D, anti-codon, and T loops). Further hydrogen bonds mediate the characteristic L-shaped molecular structure. tRNAs have two regions of fundamental functional importance: the anti-codon, which is responsible for specific mRNA codon recognition, and the 3' end, to which the tRNAs corresponding amino acid is attached (by aminoacyl-tRNA synthetases). tRNAs cope with the degeneracy of the genetic code in two manners: having more than one tRNA (with a specific anti-codon) for a particular amino acid; and 'wobble' base-pairing, i.e. permitting non-standard base-pairing at the 3rd anti-codon position. Lineage: Eukaryota; Metazoa; Chordata; Aves; Psittaciformes; Psittacidae. The record is from RNAcentral. RNAcentral also lists the same sequence under 2 other names.